GUGAGGAAUAUUGGUCAAUGGGCGGAAGCCUGAACCAGCCAAGUCGCGUGAGGGAUUAAGGCCCUAUGGGUCGUAAACCUCUUUUGUCAGGGAGCAAUGGCGUCCACGUGUGGGCGUAUGGAGAGUACCUGAAGAAAAAGCAUCGGCUAACUCCGUGCCAGCAGCCGCGGUAAUACGGAGGAUGCGAGCGUUAUCCGGAUUUAUUGGGUUUAAAGGGUGCGUAGGCGGGACCUUAAGUCAGCGGUAAAAUUGCGGUGCUCAACGCCGUAGAGCCGUUGAAACUGGGGUUCUUGAGUGAGCGAGAAGUAUGCGGAAUGCGUGGUGUAGCGGUGAAAUGCAUAGAUAUCACGCAGAACCCCGAUUGCGAAGGCAGCAUACCGGCGCUCAACUGACGCUGAGGCACGAAAGUGCGGGUAUCGAACAGG
This 425-nucleotide ribosomal RNA is filed under the name uncultured bacterium. Its description in RNAcentral is "bacterial SSU rRNA". It matches the Rfam family "Bacterial small subunit ribosomal RNA", at positions 354 to 776 of the family's 1533-position model. The record is from RNAcentral.